Molecule: transfer RNA, 64 nt
Filed under: Jamides bochus
Lineage: Eukaryota; Metazoa; Arthropoda; Insecta; Lepidoptera; Lycaenidae
Description: tRNA-Arg
Source: RNAcentral
AAUAAGAAGCAAUAUUGCAUUUAAUUUCGACUUAAAAGAAAGAGAUAAAUUAUCUCCUUAUUUU